CCUACGGGAGGCAGCAGUGGGGAAUAUUGCACAAUGGGGGAAACUCUGAUGCAGCGACGCCGCGUGAGCGAAGAAGGAUUUCGGUAUGGAAAGCUCUAUCAGCAGGGAAGAAAAUGACGGUACCUGAGUAAGAAGCUCCGGCUAAAUACGUGCCAGCAGCCGCGGUAAUACGUAUGGAGCAAGCGUUAUCCGGAUUUACUGGGCGUAAGGGGAGCGUAGGCGGCCUGCCAAGUCUGAUGUGAAAUAGCGGGGCUCAACCCCGGGGCUGCAUUGGAAACUGGCAGGCUGGAGUGCCGGAGAGGCAGGCGGAAUUCCUAGUGUAGCGGUGAAAUGCGUAGAUAUUAGGAAGAACACCAGUGGCGAAGGCAGUCUGCUGGACGGUGACUGACGCUGAGGCUCGAAAGCGUGGGGAGCAAACAGGAUUAGAUACCCGUGUAGUC
Molecule: ribosomal RNA, 440 nt
Filed under: uncultured bacterium
Lineage: Bacteria
Description: partial 16S ribosomal RNA
Rfam family: Bacterial small subunit ribosomal RNA
Source: RNAcentral